RNAcentral lists this ribosomal RNA (500 nucleotides) under uncultured bacterium. RNAcentral describes it as "partial 16S ribosomal RNA". It matches the Rfam family "Bacterial small subunit ribosomal RNA", at positions 30 to 523 of the family's 1533-position model. The record is from RNAcentral.
AUUGAACGCUGGCGGAAUGCUUUACACAUGCAAGUCGAACGGCAGCACGGACUUCGGUCCGCCGGCGAGUGGCGAACGGGUGAGUAAUACAUCGGAACGUACCUAUUAGUGGGGGAUAACUAAGCGAAAGUUUAGCUAAUACCGCAUACGACCUGAGGGUGAAAGCGGGGGAUCUUCGGACCUCGCGCUAAUAGAGCGGCCGAUGGCUGAUUAGCUAGUUGGUGAGGUAAAGGCUCACCAAGGCGACGAUCAGUAGCGGGUCUUAGAGGACGAUCCGCCACACUGGAACUGAGACUCGGUCCAGACUCCAACGGGAGGCAGCAGUGGGGAAUCUUGGACAAUGGGCGAAAGCCUGAUCCAGCAAUGCCGCGUGGGUGAAGAAGGCCUUCGGGUUGUAAAGCCCUUUUGUACGGGAGCAAAUCCUUGUCACUAAUACUGGCUGGGGAUGAGAGUACCGUAAGAAUCAGCACCGGCUAACUACGUGCCAGCCGCCGCCGUAA